Molecule: long non-coding RNA, 1260 nt
Filed under: Lynx canadensis (Canada lynx)
Lineage: Eukaryota; Metazoa; Chordata; Mammalia; Carnivora; Felidae
Description: lncRNA (ENSLCNG00005020815.1)
Source: RNAcentral
ACCCAGGGAGCUAACACAACACGAAUACACCAGCAGCUUCCCGAGGUCCCGAGAGGUGCACGGUCGGACGCCCCCCCCAAGCUCAUCACUGUCGACCCCCAAUUCCCCACACCUGCCCUGGCGGGAAACGGCUCUGGAGGGGGAACAGACCCGGGGGGGCAUCACGCCAAGCCCACCUCAGGUGUGGCCUCAGGGGGCCUGGGCCAGGGAGACAGGCACCGCAGGCGAACCUGUGAGCCGUACCCGUGGACAAGGGGCACGGGGUGGACCGGUGACCACGGGGCUAUUCCCCACCUGCACGCGGGAGCCUCACGGUGCCUGUGUGCGCGUACAGGUACGUGUGUGGUGCGCGGCCGCGGGUGCACACGGGUGAGCUGGCAGGGCUCCUUCUGGAGAACUGUUCUGUCUACAGAGGUGGCCACGGGACCCAACCAGAACCUUCUCCCUUUGGCUAGCUUGUGGGCGAGGGGACACCCGAGCCAGCCAGGCAGGGAGACCACCCCAGCCCUCCACUGCCAUCAGAGAGGAGCAAGUGCCUCUUGCCGGGGUCGCCACACGGUCAGCCCGAGGCCCGGAGCCCUUGUGCCGCUACACACGACGCCCCCACCGAGACAGGCUGUGGGGCCACGGGGUUCUGAGACCCCCUGCGGGGCGACCGGGCGCCUGCUGGAGGGGACGGCAUCCGUCCCCGCGUGUUCUCUCGCUGGGCCCGAGACCGAGGGCGGCACUACUCCGCGGAGGAGCCGGCAGAGGGGGUGCGCUCGGGCGCCCCGAGACUCGGGGGACCCGGGUAUGAGACGGGGUCCCCGGCCUCACCCCAACCCGCCCCGUGGGGGGCCCAAAGGGGGAGCACACGGCCGGGGGGCCGGCCCGCCGGAGAACACCACGUCCGGACCCUCCGCCCUCCGCUACCUGGGUGGGCUUGCCGAACCACUUCCAGAGCUGCCGCGCCGGCAGGAAGGCGGCGAUCUUGGGCCGGUUCUCCACGGACGGCAGGCGCUGCCGCUUGGCCAGCUCCUUGGUGGUGGGGAGGUGGACGCCCUCCCUCUUCUUGGGUCGGCUCUUGGCCGCGGCCUGAGCCUUGGGCUGCAGAGGCUGCGCGGGCUGCGGCGGGGGCGCCUGGGGCGGGGGCGCCGGGGCCUUCUUGCCCGGAGAGGGGGCAGAGGAGCGAGCCUUGCCCGCCUGCUUGGGCGCCUUGCCGGGCAGGGCCGGCGGCGCCGAGGGGCCGGCCGCGGCGGGAGGCGCCGCCUCGUCGUCUGA